RNAcentral lists this ribosomal RNA (438 nucleotides) under uncultured bacterium. Its description in RNAcentral is "bacterial SSU rRNA". It matches the Rfam family "Bacterial small subunit ribosomal RNA", at positions 958 to 1398 of the family's 1533-position model. The record is from RNAcentral.
AACGCGAAGAACCUUACCCAGGCUUGACAUGCAGUAGACCGACACAGAGAUGUGUCUUUCCUUAGGGACUGCUGCACAGGUGCUGCAUGGCUGUCGUCAGCUCGUGCCGUGAGGUGUUGGGUUAAGUCCCGCAACGAGCGCAACCCUUAUCGUUAGUUGCCAACAUUUAAGGUGGGAACUCUAACGAGACUGCCCGGGUUAACCGGGAGGAAGGUGAGGAUGACGUCAAGUCCGCAUGGCCCUUAUGUCUGGGGCUACACACGUGCUACAAUGGCCGGUACAGAAGGCAGCGAAACCGUGAGGUGAAGCAAAUCCCGAAAGCCGGCCCCAGUUCAGAUUGUAGUCUGCAACUCGACUACAUGAAGAUGGAAUUGCUAGUAAUGGCGAGUCAGCAACAUCGCCGUGAAUACGUUCUCGGGCCUUGUACACACCGGAGUA